RNAcentral lists this long non-coding RNA (747 nucleotides) under Homo sapiens (human). RNAcentral's name for it is "HSALNT0090898". Lineage: Eukaryota; Metazoa; Chordata; Mammalia; Primates; Hominidae. The record is from RNAcentral.
AGCUCUUGGAGCAGACGAGGGAAAGGGAGGAAGGCUCUACCCUUAAAAUCCUCUCGAAGGUCAAGUUUGAGGCUUGCCGAAAGGAGGAGAAAAGUGUCGAAAAAUGCCGCUACAGGGUUUGCGGGAAGGUUCUGCACGGAGACUGGUUGGAAAUGCCUUUCUCCCCCUAAAUACCAGAUUAAUUUCUCUGAAACACACAAUGUAUUUGUCAUGCCCAAAGGAUGAUGAUAGAUGGUUUUUUAAGCCCAGAGUAAAGUGUGCAUUUGUCUUGUAUAUCAAGGCUACAAUGAAACCACGAAGAACUGGAGAGGAGAUCACCCAGCGUUGGCUGCUUAAUAGGAGCGGGGAGAGCGAGUGAGGAGUAGAGACGGGGGGCGGGGCGAGUGGUGGCCCAAGACCUGCUCCAGGUGGGCUGUUCCCUGUCGGCUCCUGGAACAGGACGGGUAAGCCGACUAAGAGCGCAAACGGGGACCCAUGAAAAGAAAAGAAAAAACAAGAUCCGGGAAUAGUUUGUUACUGUUAUUUACAUCCAGACUCUGGUUUUCCGGCCCUUUACAGCUGCUGGUGAAGAGUAUUCAAGCUUUGAAUACUGCUCUGAACUGACCUUGAGGCACAUUGAGAGGAAAAAUCACUGGAGAAAAUCGCGGUUUGUGUAGUGCUUUGAGAUCCUCUAACGCGAAAGCAAGAGAAUUGUGAAGUGACCUUGUUUCAUAGAUCUCUCUACGUCCACAUUGGAAUACUAAGGGA